GCCAAAAUCAAACCGGUCUAGUCCCGCCCCGCCCCUCGCUUCGCGCAGGCCCAGCCUUCGGAAGAUCCGCUAUGUCAAAGAAAAAGGGACUGAGUGCAGAGGAGAAGAGAGCCCGCAUGAUGGAAAUAUUUUUUGAGACGAAAGAUGUGUUUCAAUUAAAAGACAUGGAGAAGAUUGCUCCCAAAGAAAAAGGCAUUACUGCUAUGUCAGUAAAAGAAGUCCUUCAAAGCUUAGUUGAUGACGGUAUGGUUGACUGUGAGAGGAUUGGAACGUCUAAUUAUUAUUGGGCUUUUCCAAGUAAAGCUCUUCAUGCAAGGAAACGCAAGCUGGAGGUUCUGGAAUCUCAGUUAUCUGAGGGAAACCAAAAGCAUGCAAAUCUACAGAAAAGCAUUGAGAAAGCUAAAGUUGGCCGACAUGAAACGGAAGAGCGAACUAUGCUAGCAAAAGAGCUUUCUUCACUUCGAGACCAAAGGGAACAGCUAAAGGCAGAAGUAGAAAAAUACAGAGAAUGUGACCCACAAGUUGUGGAAGAAAUACGUCAAGCAAAUCAAGUAGCCAAAGAAGCCGCUAACAGAUGGACUGAUUCAUCGGAGGAAUGACUGUCUAUAGCAGCUAUAGCCUUCUGCAGUGUAUUUCUUAAAAAAGAAGACUUGAAAGUCAAAACUACUCCUUGAUCCAUGGGCCACAUAAUGGAUGUCGUGUUAGCAGAUAAUAUAUUUGCAAUAAAAUCUUGGGCGAAAAGAAAAUUUGGUUUGGAAGAAAAUAAAAUUGAUAAAAAUUUUGGAAUUCCAGAAGACUUUGACUACAUAGACUAAAAUGUUCGAUGUUGGGAGAGGAUCUGUGUACUUGUGAAUAUGUGAUUUUUAAAAAUAUUAUCCAACUAAAUGUACUGAAUUGCCAUUUACCUAUAACUGUGUUGUGUUGAUCAUUUUGUUAAUUUUAAAUAAAGUAUAAUGUGGA
This is an RNA transcript of Prionailurus viverrinus (fishing cat), 960 nucleotides long. It is a transcript of the gene named meiotic nuclear divisions 1, with no coding region annotated. The transcript is spliced from 9 exons. The record is from RefSeq and is a predicted model, not a curated record. NCBI's taxonomy places the organism in Eukaryota, Metazoa, Chordata, Mammalia, Carnivora, Felidae.